This 1512-nucleotide long non-coding RNA is filed under the name Triticum aestivum (bread wheat). Its description in RNAcentral is "long non-coding RNA (TAES_LNC004823)". Lineage: Eukaryota; Viridiplantae; Streptophyta; Magnoliopsida; Poales; Poaceae. The record is from RNAcentral.
GCGUGGCGGCGGCUGGAAGGGUAGCAGGGGCCUGUGGGGCGUCGGCCGGAACGGUAGCGAGAGAAACCUUCUCUUCUCCCCUCCUUGCGUCCUGGGCAUCUUCCUCUCCAAGUAUGUUCUAUAAUGCAGGUGAUGGGCUGCUGAUUUUAUUACGCACCUGUGCUGAUUUUGAGUGACUUCCACUUCAUUUGAUAUCUACUGUACAAGUAAUGGCACUAAUACAAUUGAUAUCAAAUUAAUGGAUUUGCUAACAGAUUGCCUCUUGUGAUGUUAAUUGAUUUGCAGGUUUACUGGUUUUGGUUCAGUUUGAAGGGCUCACCGGGCUUAAGAUCUUGGUUUCAUUAGAAUUACAGAAUUUCUUUGCUCAGUAGUCUUGCCGUCUUGCCGCUGGUGGCAGGUUUUACUUUGUGGGGUGUAGGUUCUAUUGCCGGUGACACCUCAUGAAUUUUCUUUUCAAUCUUUAAUUAGUCUUGCCGUCUUGCCGCUGGUGGCAGGUUUUACUUUGUGGGUUGUAGGUUCUAUUGCCGGUGACCCCUCAUGAAUUUUCUUUUCAAUCUUUAAUUUAUAUGGUCGUUCGCUGGAUGCUCGCUGCUAUGUAUGGUUCAUAUGGUCGCCGACUCGAAAAUCACUGCUAUCUUUGGGUCAUCAUAUGGCCGUCGACUAGACGCUCGCGGUCUGAAUGAUCUCAUUGCCUAUGGCUGGCAAUACACACUUUUCAUUACUAGCCAGCCAGGAAGGUGUCUCGGCUCGCGAUCGCUGCGCAGCGGCAGCGCUCAUUACUACCUGCCAGGCCUUCUCAAAGUGACUGAAAUUUGGUAAAUUCCAUUCCUUUGUGCUGCAUUGUACCUUCCAUGCUUUUUGCAGUCAGUGAAUCUGAUAUCAUAACCUCUCAUUUAGAAUUUUCUUGAUAGGCAAAACAACCAGUUCUCAUUUAUCUGGAUGGUUUUCAAAAUGGCAUAAUAUGUCAUUUGCACUAUCAUCGAUCUUAGUUGCUCCAGUUUUUCAUAGAUUACUAUUGUGUAGACUUUGUCUUUUCCACUUACCAUCGCCAUUUUUGUGAUGAUACUUCACUAGGAAUAUUCUUUGGUGCUUCUCAUCUGAAAAUGGAUUCAGAAUGUGGUCAGUUUUGCAAUGCAUGGGAGUUCAAUUUUUCUGCAUGCACAGUUAUAUAUUUUUAGUCCAUUGAAUUGAAAAGUGAGUGCUUCUUGGUUGUUUCUGUUGUUUAUCCAGGAGGUUCUUGGUGCUUGGUUUUUUGCUACUUGUGCAGUAUUAUACUAUGCCCAUAUAAAUGACGAAUUAUAUUUUGUUCCGCGGACGAGCAAAGUUUGUUGUCUGCGUAGUAACUUUGGUGGCGAGCCCGAGCGCCGGUGGGAGCAGGGGCCGGGUCAAGGCAGGUGUUGACGGUCUGGGAUGGUCCACGGCACCGGCAUCCAUAGCAGAAAGGCGAAGCCAAGAUGAAUCUCUCAUAUUUUUGUCAGCCAUGGAUCGGAAGAUGUAGAAGAAAAAUCCAUG